GGAAGGAUCAUUACUGAAUUGUCAAACGGGCUGUUGCUGGUCCUCAAAUGGGGACAUGUGCACGCUCUGUUUACACAUCCACUCACACCUGUGCACCCUCUGUAGUUUUACGGUCUGGGGGACCCUGUCUUCCUUCCGUAGUUCUACGUCUUUACACACACACUGUAAUAAAGUCUUAUGGAAUGUAUGCCGCGUCUAACGCAAAACAAUACAACUUUCAGCAACGGAUCUCUUGGCUCUCGCAUCGAUGAAGAACGCAGCGAAAUGCGAUAAGUAAUGUGAAUUGCAGAAUUCAGUGAAUCAUCGAAUCUUUGAACGCACCUUGCGCCCCUUGGAUAUUCCGAGGGGCAUGCCUGUUUGAGUAUCAUGAACACCUCAACUCUCAUGGUUUGCCGUGACGAGCUUGGACCUUGGGGGUUUUGCUGGCCUGUGGUCGGCUCCUCUCAAAUGAAUCAGCCUCCCAGUGUUUGGUGGCAUCACGAGUGUGAUAACUAUCUACGCUCGCGGUUUUCCACCAGGUAACCUUUGGUGACAAAGGUUCGCUGGAGCUCACAGAUGUCUCUCCUCAGCGAGGACAGCUUUUUAACGUUCGAUCUCAAAUCAGGUAGGACUACCCGCUGAACUUAAGCAUAUCAAUAAGCGGAGGAAAAGAAACUAACAAGGAUUCCCCUAGUAACUGCGAGUGAAGCGGGAAGAGCUCAAAUUUAAAAUCUGGCGUGCCUCUGGUCGU
RNAcentral lists this ribosomal RNA (730 nucleotides) under uncultured fungus. RNAcentral describes it as "eukaryotic LSU rRNA". The stretch from base 213 to 367 matches the Rfam family "5.8S ribosomal RNA". The record is from RNAcentral. Lineage: Eukaryota; Fungi.